This 337-nucleotide unclassified non-coding RNA is filed under the name soil metagenome. RNAcentral describes it as "partial contains 5.8S ribosomal RNA, internal transcribed spacer 2, and large subunit ribosomal RNA". The stretch from base 1 to 120 matches the Rfam family "5.8S ribosomal RNA", at positions 35 to 154 of the family's 154-position model. The record is from RNAcentral.
GAUGAAGAACGUAGCGAAAUGCGAUAAGUAAUGUGAAUUGCAGAAUUCCGUGAAUCAUCGAAUCUUUGAACGCACAUUGCGCCCCCUGGCAUUCCGGGGGGCAUGCCUGUCCGAGCGUCAUUUCUGCCCUCAAGCACGGCUUGUGUGUUGGGUGUGGUCCCCCCGGGGACCUGCCCGAAAGGCAGCGGCGACGUCCGUCUGGUCCUCGAGCGUAUGGGGCUCUGUCACUCGCUCGGGAAGGACCUGCGGGGGUUGGUCACCACCAUGUUUUACCGCGGUUGACCUCGGAUCAGGUAGGAGUUACCCGCUGAACUUAAGCAUAUCAAUAAGCGGAGGA